RNAcentral lists this ribosomal RNA (558 nucleotides) under Brachymeria sp. JC118. Its description in RNAcentral is "eukaryotic LSU rRNA". It matches the Rfam family "Eukaryotic large subunit ribosomal RNA", at positions 652 to 1156 of the family's 3401-position model. Lineage: Eukaryota; Metazoa; Arthropoda; Insecta; Hymenoptera; Chalcididae. The record is from RNAcentral.
UCUUGAAACACGGACCAAGGAGUCUAACAUGUACGCGAGUCAUUGGGACUUUUUAUAAGCCUAAAGGCGCAAUGAAAGUGAAGGUCGACCCUAGCGUCGACCGAGGGAGGAUGGCUCGCGUCACGAUGCGAGUCCGCACUCCCGGGGCGUCUCGUGCUCAUUGCGAGCAGAGGCGCACCUAGAGCGUACACGUUGGGACCCGAAAGAUGGUGAACUAUGCCUGGUCAGGACGAAGUCAGGGGAAACCCUGAUGGAGGUCCGUAGCGAUUCUGACGUGCAAAUCGAUCGUCGGAACUGGGUAUAGGGGCGAAAGACUAAUCGAACCAUCUAGUAGCUGGUUCCCUCCGAAGUUUCCCUCAGGAUAGCUGGCACUCGCUUGAGCGAGUCUCAUCUGGUAAAGCGAAUGAUUAGAGGCCUUGGGGCCGAAACGACCUCAACCUAUUCUCAAACUUUAAAUGGGUGAGAUGACUGGCUUGCUUGAACGUUGAAGCCAUGUCAGACAUUAAAGCGAAGGAUCAGAGUGCCAAGUGGGCCAAUUUUGGUAAGCAGAACUGGCGC